UUAUGACAGAAUCAAUGUGUUAAAUUUAAAAUUUAAAUAUGAAAAUUUCUUUUAGUA
RNAcentral lists this transfer RNA (57 nucleotides) under Heterotrioza chenopodii. RNAcentral describes it as "tRNA-Leu". Lineage: Eukaryota; Metazoa; Arthropoda; Insecta; Hemiptera; Triozidae. The record is from RNAcentral.